ACUGAAAUUUUGAUCUCGCUUCCGCAUUUUAUGUGUUUAAAUACUCACUCCAUUUUAACAUUUCCGGGGCCGUUACACUGGCGAUCCGCAUGCCCCGAGAUCGGACGACCCAGAAGCGGUCCCACACGCGUGAAAUGUCCGAAUCUGUUUUUCCCUUAGGCACAAUCGGACGGUCGAGAUCAAAUGCAAUGAAUGACCUAGAUUUAUUUCUUCCAUAGGCGUAAUCGAACUGUCGAGAUCAAACGCAUUGAAC
RNAcentral lists this long non-coding RNA (253 nucleotides) under Carica papaya (papaya). Its description in RNAcentral is "long non-coding RNA (CPAP_LNC003567)". The record is from RNAcentral. Lineage: Eukaryota; Viridiplantae; Streptophyta; Magnoliopsida; Brassicales; Caricaceae.